AUGGCAUUAUUACAGAUGGCAUGCAUGUUCCAAAAUUCACAUGGAGGGUUAUUCUACCGGGAAGAACGUGCAGUUGGGGUGAGCUGGAUAGGGAGCCCAAAUUGGAGCACACUCUGGAGCACCCUGGGUUUGGAGCCCCCCUCGCCCCCACCGCCAAGAAGGAGCUCUUUCAUCCCAAAGGGAGGAGAUGAGGGUGGGAUUGGGCUGGAGAAGGGGUACAGUUGCAGGGAGGAUAUAUUAUCACAUUCUUUUUUUUUUUUAACUUGUAUAUUUAUUUAGCUUCAGCCUGAAUCACGUAGGCUUAUAUGAAGUUAAGCCACUAUUUACUAUAUUGUAUCUAAAGCUUAUUUACCAUCCUUCUUACCUCCCUUCCCUACCCAGCCCCCUUACUCUCAUUCUGUGUAGCUUAAAGCUAAAAAAAUUUUGAAUAAUGGGCUGGAGAUUAUCCUGGAAGAGAAAUUGCUCUUACCAAAUAUCCCUGACAGCUCCCCAGACCAUUAAAUUAAUAGCAAUGAGUGGAGAGAUAAGCAAAACUAAUGGCAUGCUUAAAGCUUUGUGACAGAGGUUUGGAGUCA
RNAcentral lists this long non-coding RNA (575 nucleotides) under Homo sapiens (human). RNAcentral's name for it is "non-protein coding lnc-MYLK4-25:1". The record is from RNAcentral. Lineage: Eukaryota; Metazoa; Chordata; Mammalia; Primates; Hominidae.